RNAcentral lists this ribosomal RNA (385 nucleotides) under uncultured methanogenic archaeon. RNAcentral describes it as "bacterial SSU rRNA". It matches the Rfam family "Archaeal small subunit ribosomal RNA", at positions 40 to 433 of the family's 1478-position model. The record is from RNAcentral. Lineage: Archaea; Methanobacteriati; Methanobacteriota.
UCGACUAGCAUGCGAGUCAGGUGUCUUCGGACGCCGGUAUACGGCUCAGUAACGCGAUAGGUAACCUACCCUCAGGACUGAGAUAACCCCGGGAAACUGGGGCUAAUAUUAGAUAGAUAAAAGAUACUGGAAUGUUCUUUUAUCCAAAGCUUUUGCGCCUGAGGAUGGGCCUGCGUCCGAUUAGGUUGUGGGGGGGGUAAUGGCCCACCAAGCCUGCAAUCGGUACGGGCAGGGGGAGCUGAAGCCGGGAGUUGGGGACUGAGACAGGGCCCCAGGCCCUACGGGGCGCAGCAGGCGCGAAACCUCUGCAAUGCGGGAAACCGUGACAGGGGAAUCCCAAGUGCUCAUGCAUUGCAUGGCUGUUCUUUGGCUAGGUAACCGGAGG